UACGUAGGGGGCAAGCGUUGUCCGGAAUCAUUGGGCGUAAAGAGCGUGUAGGCGGCCAGACAGGUCCGUUGUGAAAACUCGAGGCUCAACCUCGAGACGCCGAUGGAAACCGUCUGGCUAGAGUCCGGAAGAGGAGAGUGGAAUUCCUGGUGUAGCGGUGAAAUGCGCAGAUAUCAGGAAGAACACCCGUGGCUAAGGCGGCUCUCUAGUACGGUACUGACGCUGAGACGCGAAAGCGUGGGGAGCGAACAGG
Molecule: ribosomal RNA, 253 nt
Filed under: uncultured bacterium
Lineage: Bacteria
Description: partial 16S ribosomal RNA
Rfam family: Bacterial small subunit ribosomal RNA
Source: RNAcentral